UAACGCGUGAGCAAUCUACCUUUAAGAGGGGGAUAACAGUCGGAAACGGCUGCUAAUACCGCAUAAAGCAUCAAAUUCGCAUGUUUUUGAUGCCAAAGGAGCAAUCCGCUUUUAGAUGAGCUCGCGUCUGAUUAGCUGGUUGGCGGGGUAACGGCCCACCAAGGCGACGAUCAGUAGCCGGACUGAGAGGUUGAACGGCCACAUUGGGACUGAGACACGGCCCAG
Molecule: ribosomal RNA, 225 nt
Filed under: uncultured bacterium
Lineage: Bacteria
Description: partial 16S ribosomal RNA
Rfam family: Bacterial small subunit ribosomal RNA
Source: RNAcentral